GAAACGCCACGUCAUGAUACCUGACCUAGAACGUGUAUACACGUCUGCAGCACUCUACGGGUUAAUGCAGGAUUACUGUUUGCACAAACUCUCUAUUUAUAUGUGAAACGUAACUCGGAAGGUUUUCUUUAUACAAUUUCAAAAUGAAGACAAUUUUUCUGGCUUUCCUCGCUGUCUGUGCAAUAAACAGGGUUGACAGCUCAAGCGGUGCAAUAGUUAGCGUUGCCGCAGAUGUUUGGAACUGGAUUUGGUCUUUGCUUCAGUUUACCAUUAGGCUUAAAGUAGGUAUGACUUUCGGCCCAGUGAGAGUUGUGUACAUUGAGAAAGGAAUUGGACAAACUUGUGUAUUAUUGGAAAUAUUCAGUGCUACACAAUACCUCUGCAUUCCAUUUUAGUGGAGGCGUGAAUCUAGAAAACAGAAGAUGGUGACAUUGUAAUUGGAAAAAAAAAAUACACUUUUGGAAAGAGAAAUGAAUGUCAUUAUUAUUAUCGGUUUGAUUCAAGCGCAAUUCGCAAAAGACAAGAUGCACGUCUUAUAAAUAGUUUUCAUCAGA
Gigantopelta aegis is the source of this 554-nucleotide long non-coding RNA. RefSeq lists it as uncharacterized. The record is from RefSeq and is a predicted model, not a curated record. Lineage: Eukaryota; Metazoa; Mollusca; Gastropoda; Neomphalida; Peltospiridae. The transcript has 3 exons.